RNAcentral lists this long non-coding RNA (297 nucleotides) under Cyanistes caeruleus (blue tit). RNAcentral's name for it is "lncRNA (ENSCCEG00000000971.1)". The record is from RNAcentral. Lineage: Eukaryota; Metazoa; Chordata; Aves; Passeriformes; Paridae.
GCCCCUCAGCUACCUAAUUAUAAUCCUCCUCAGGUGUGAACACCUUGUGUUGUGACAUAGAGCCACGUGGACAUGUGGUGAUUCCGUGAUGCUCUUUAGGUGUUUGGGAAUGCUCAUAGGAUGGUCCCUUUCAGGUGGGGGAAGAGUUCAUGCUCUCCAGGAGUCUCACUGUGUGACGGGGUACUCAGCUGCAGUCUGGGAGGACUGGUAAGAAAUGUUCAGGUUCUCUUCUUACCCAGAACUGGUAAGCAAUGUUCUGGUUUUCUUCUUACCCAGAAAUUGAUGAAAAAGUAAGCC